Long non-coding RNA from Cygnus olor (mute swan), 733 nucleotides. RefSeq lists it as uncharacterized. The record is from RefSeq and is a predicted model, not a curated record. The transcript has 3 exons. Lineage: Eukaryota; Metazoa; Chordata; Aves; Anseriformes; Anatidae.
UCCUUUGGUGCCCGCCAGGCAGCUAUAGCCCCACAUCCUCUACAUACUGCUUAUGCUGAGGUUCACCACAUCACCAUGCAAACACCCCACCUCUUCCCCCAGGCCAUCCUGCCUGCUCCUAUAGCAUACGCACCUCCUCAGCCUUACCCUUUCAUAGCCUCUUGGAGGAAAGCAGUUGAUUUUCUCCAGCUGGUUGAAGCCAGGCUGCCUUGCAGAUCCUUGCUCUCAGGAGAGCAGCUGUGAGCCCUCCUGCUCCUUGAAGGAGAGCAUUGCUCCCUUCUGUGGACAGCUGGCCACUGCUGCCUUCCUUCCCUAGAGCAGCAUGGCUGGAGGAUUUAGCAUGUUUCUUGCUAGCACCAGGUCCCCCAAAAGAGAGCAGAGGUGUUGCAGUGCAGCUGCGGGUGUGUGGCGGGCAGCAUCAUCCAGCCCCCCGGGUCUGCCCCAUGCGGUGUUGCAUCUGCCUUGGUGGGCCUGGGCAGAAGAGGCAAAUACUCAACAAUUCUGACUGAAUCUUCCUAAAUGAUGGAGAAUGACCAUUUCUACCACAGCCUCUAAAACAACCUGUCCUCCCUCAACCUCUGGGCACAUAUAGUCUACCAGGCCAGGCACCCUGGGGUGCUCAGCGUCUAAUAACUGACCCUCACCACAGCUCCCUUGCAGUGUGCUGAAAAUUUGGCUGGAGUAAACCUCAGGAGAAGAUUUCCUCCUACAGUUUGUGGCAGAAACAUAAACU